Molecule: transfer RNA, 72 nt
Filed under: bovine gut metagenome
Rfam family: tRNA
About the family: Transfer RNA (tRNA) molecules are approximately 80 nucleotides in length. Their secondary structure includes four short double-helical elements and three loops (D, anti-codon, and T loops).
Source: RNAcentral
GGGACGUAGCUCAGUUGGUUAGAGCGCUACCUUGACAUGGUAGAGGUCAUAGGUUCGAACCCUACCGCCCCC